Molecule: ribosomal RNA, 730 nt
Filed under: Philonotion americanum
Lineage: Eukaryota; Viridiplantae; Streptophyta; Magnoliopsida; Alismatales; Araceae
Description: eukaryotic LSU rRNA
Rfam family: 5.8S ribosomal RNA (bases 261-416)
Source: RNAcentral
UGAGGAAGGAGAAGUCGUAACAAGGUUUCCGUAGGUGAACCUGCGGAAGGAUCAUUGUCGUAUCCCGACCUCGGCGCACUCGCGAACCGUCGUCCCGACGCCGCCGCCCCCGCUCGUCGCGGGGCGGCGAACCUCACCUUCUACCCGGCGCGGUCCGCGCCAAGGAACACCGCGAUGCGGACGGGGGCGCCGGAGUCAGUUCCCCGCUCCGCGCGGGGGACGCCCGGCGCCCGUCGUUCGAAUUCGACCUGACGGAAAACGACUCCCGGCAACGGAUAUCUAGGCUCUCGCAUCGAUGAAGAACGUAGCGAAAUGCGAUACGUGGUGUGAAUUGCAGAAUCCCGUGAACCAUCGAAUCUUUGAACGCAAGUUGCGCCCGAGGCCGUCCGGCCGAGGGCACGCCUGCCUGGGCGUCACGCCUCGCGUCGCUCCCCCCUCCUCGCCCGCCCGGCGCGGCGGCGGCGGAGGCGGGAUGCGGAGAUUGGCCUGCCGUGCUCCGGUGCGGCGGGCUGAAGCGCCCGACCCCGCGGGACGGGGGCGAGGACGCGGCGAGUGGUGGACAGACCGGCUCGCAGCAGCGGCGUCGCAUCGUCGCCGCGCCCCUCGUUCCCGCGCGUACGCGGAGGAGAACGAACCCGACCGCGAGCGUCGCACCCGCGACCGCUCCGACCGCGACCCCAGGUCAGGCGGGGCCACCCGCUGAGUUUAAGCAUAUCAAUAAGCGGAGGAA